CAGAAUGAUACAGAGAUUAGCAUGACCCCUGCACAAGGAUGACAUGCAAAUUCAUGAAGUAUUCCAUAUUUUA
This 73-nucleotide small nuclear RNA is filed under the name Erinaceus europaeus (western European hedgehog). The record is from RNAcentral. Lineage: Eukaryota; Metazoa; Chordata; Mammalia; Eulipotyphla; Erinaceidae.